Long non-coding RNA from Athene cunicularia (burrowing owl), 369 nucleotides. RefSeq lists it as uncharacterized. NCBI's taxonomy places the organism in Eukaryota, Metazoa, Chordata, Aves, Strigiformes, Strigidae. The transcript is spliced from 3 exons. The record is from RefSeq and is a predicted model, not a curated record.
GCGUGUCCCGUCUCCACCAGCCCCUGGGCCCUCUCUGUUACACCAGGCACUUCUGACUCCCAAAGCCCGCUCAGGGACACGCUCGCUGUUUGACCAGGGAGCCCCGUGUUCCUUGCUUUGAGACAUUUCCCUGCUUCUCCUUACAGAUCACGCAGCUAAAGAUCGCCAGUAACCCUUUUGCCAAGGGAUUCCGAGACUGCGACCCUGAGGAUUGGCCCAGGAAUCACAGGCCAGGGGCUCUUCCUCUCAUGAGUGCUUUUGCCAGAUCCCGGAAUCCAGUCUCUUCCCCAGCCCACCAGAACGGAACAGAGAAAGAUGCUGCCGAGAGCCGGCGGGAGUACGAGCGGGAGGCGGCGGGCGGGACGCCGC